RNAcentral lists this ribosomal RNA (253 nucleotides) under uncultured bacterium. RNAcentral describes it as "partial 16S ribosomal RNA". It matches the Rfam family "Bacterial small subunit ribosomal RNA", at positions 524 to 776 of the family's 1533-position model. The record is from RNAcentral.
UACAGAGGGGGCAAGCGUUGUUCGGAAUUACCGGGCGUAAAGGGCGCGUAGGCGGCCUGUUAAGUCAGACGUGAAAUCCCUCGGCUCAACCGGGGAACUGCGUCUGAUACUGGCGGGCUUGAAUUCGGGAGAGGGAUGUGGAAUUCCAGGUGUAGCGGUGAAAUGCGUAGAUAUCAGGAGGAAUACCGGUGGUGUAGACGGCUCUCUGGACCGCAACUGACGCUGAGACACGAAAGCGUGGGUAGCAAACAGG